CAAUGGCAUUGUUUAUGUUACUAUGGUGAUGGGGAGCACGAUCACGGGACGUGACGUGGUGCGACAUCACUUCUCUUGCGCAGCACGGAGCGGGCGGCGUCCCGCCAUCCGAAUGCCGCCGAGCACAGGGUGAUUACGUCCUAUAUAAGACCCUCAUCGUGGAACAUCUUAAAGGGGAACCCCGCCUCCCCAUGCUGGAAGUCAGGAUUACCCAGAAACCGUAGAAACAAGGAUUUAUGUCUCCCUAAGUUUCCUGAUCUUCGCAAGGAGUGCCAAAGGCGAUAGACAGACCACAGAAGGGGAUUAUCUCGUAGAUCCCGAUCGCAGUCCGCCUCCAUACAGUGGAGGAAGUUUGUCAAGUUUUUAGAUUUUAUGAAUUGUGCCUCAAGAUUUGUAUUUGCAUAAGUGUCUGUGUCGUUUAACCAGUCCCUCAAAAACCUCAAUAGAGAUGCGUGGUUAUAGAGCAAAACGUUAGGGAAGUUAAUUCCGCCAUUAGACUUUGGUUGUUGUAACUUAUGCAUGGCAAUACGAGCUCUCUUGCCUUUCCAAAUAAACUGUCGGAACAGUUUAGUUAUGUGUGACAGAUCUGAUCUACUAAGCAAUAUCGGGAGGGAUUGUAAAAUGUAUAAUAACCGUGGAAAUGUACACAUCUUUAUCAAGGCAGCUCUCCCUAAAUACGAAAGCAUUAAAUGGUUCCAUCCCUCAA
Pseudophryne corroboree (corroboree frog) is the source of this 706-nucleotide long non-coding RNA. RefSeq lists it as uncharacterized. The record is from RefSeq and is a predicted model, not a curated record. Lineage: Eukaryota; Metazoa; Chordata; Amphibia; Anura; Myobatrachidae. The transcript is spliced from 2 exons.